GACGAACGCUGGCGGCGUGCUUAACACAUGCAAGUCGAGCGAUGAAGCACCUUCGGGUGUGAAUUAGCGGCGAACGGGUGAGGAACACGUGAGAAAUCUGCCUUCAACUUUGGGAUAACUCCGGGAAACCGGGGCUAAUACCGGAUAUGAGACCUGCAGGCAUUUGCGGGUCUGGAAAGUUUUUUGGUUGAAGAUGAUCUCGCGGCCUAUCAGCUUGUUGGUGAGGUAAUGGCUCACCAAGGCGACGACGGGUAGCCGGCCUGAGAGGGCGACCGGCCACCCUGGGACUGAGACACGGCCCAGACUCCUACGGGAGGCAGCAGUGGGGAAUAUUGGGCAAUGGAGGAAACUUUGACCCAGCGACGCCGCGUGCGGGAUGAAGGCCUUCGGGUUGUAAACCGCUUUCAGCAGGGAAGAAGCGAAAGUGACGGUACCGGCAGAAGAAGCACCGGCUAACUAUGUG
This 463-nucleotide ribosomal RNA is filed under the name uncultured bacterium. Its description in RNAcentral is "bacterial SSU rRNA". It matches the Rfam family "Bacterial small subunit ribosomal RNA", at positions 28 to 507 of the family's 1533-position model. The record is from RNAcentral.